RNAcentral lists this ribosomal RNA (564 nucleotides) under uncultured Glomeromycotina. RNAcentral describes it as "SSU rRNA". It matches the Rfam family "Eukaryotic small subunit ribosomal RNA", at positions 548 to 1114 of the family's 1831-position model. Lineage: Eukaryota; Fungi; Glomeromycota. The record is from RNAcentral.
UUGGAGGGCAAGUCUGGUGCCAGCAGCCGCGGUAAUUCCAGCUCCAAUAGCGUAUAUUAAAGUUGUUGCAGUUAAAAAGCUCGUAGUUGAAUUUCGGGAUCAAAUUGUCGGUCGUGCCUCGGUACGCACUGGUAUUAUUGGUUCCUACCUUCUGAAGAACCGCGAUGUCAUUAAUUUGGUGUCGUGGGGAAUCAGGGCUGUUACUUUGAAAAAAUUAGAGUGUUUAAAGCAGGCUUACGCUUGAAUACAUUAGCAUGGAAUAAUGAAAUAGGACGUUCGAUCCUAUUUUGUUGGUUUCUAUGAUUGACGUAAUGAUUAAUAGGGAUAGUUGGGGGCAUUAGUAUUCAAUUGUCAGAGGUGAAAUUCUUGGAUUUAUUGAAGACUAACUACUGCGAAAGCAUUUGCCAAGGAUGUUUUCAUUAAUCAAGAACGAAAGUUAGGGGAUCGAAGACGAUCAGAUACCGUCGUAGUCUUAACCAUAAACUAUGCCGACUAGGGAUCGGAUGAUGUUAAUUUUUUAAUGACUCAUUCGGCGCCUUACGGGAAACCAAAGUGUUUGGGUUC